This 212-nucleotide unclassified non-coding RNA is filed under the name plant metagenome. RNAcentral describes it as "partial contains small subunit ribosomal RNA, internal transcribed spacer 1, and 5.8S ribosomal RNA". The record is from RNAcentral.
UUUCCGUAGGUGAACCUGCGGAAGGAUCAUUCAUUAUAAGUGUUUUAUGGCACUUUUUAAAUCCAUAUCCACCUUGUGUGCAAUGUCAGGGUUGAUUUUUCUCUCGAGAGGAUCAGCCCCAAACAUCAACUAUAUCUCAACUCUUUGUCUGAAAAAUAUUAUGAAUAAAACAAUUCAAAAUACAACUUUCAACAACGGAUCUCUUGGCUCUC